UGAUGCACUUUUCCGCCAUUUUAGCGGUGCUUACUGUACUUAUAAACAGUAGUCUCGCCAAACCAACACAACAUUCGUCCUGGGCGUCAUGGUCAAGUUGGUCAUCUGGCGGAAAAACAUAUA
Long non-coding RNA from Mytilus trossulus (common blue mussel), 123 nucleotides. RefSeq lists it as uncharacterized. The record is from RefSeq and is a predicted model, not a curated record. Lineage: Eukaryota; Metazoa; Mollusca; Bivalvia; Mytilida; Mytilidae. The transcript is spliced from 3 exons.